This 472-nucleotide long non-coding RNA is filed under the name Calidris pugnax (ruff). Its description in RNAcentral is "lncRNA (ENSCPUG00000002778.1)". Lineage: Eukaryota; Metazoa; Chordata; Aves; Charadriiformes; Scolopacidae. The record is from RNAcentral.
UGAAGCAAGCCACAGCCACGAUCUCAGCAGCAAUGUGGAGUUGGAAAGGUAAUUAGAUAUUUACUGUCAAUCGCUGAAAUUUUCUACUCAUUGUACCUUUACCACAUUAUGUCACAGUCGCUGUGAUUUGGUUUUUUAGCUCAUUUCCUCCUGUAUCUGCAAGGAGCACUUCAGAAGUUUCCUCUGCAGCCACAAGAGGAGAGAGAUGACGUGUGUUGUUAUUGCAUCUCACAGAUCAGCCGAGCGCAGGCGUAGCUCCGUGGUAGUGAGUCUGCCAGGACUCGAGGUGUUCCCUGGAGACCUCCUGGUCUCAGACGGUGCCAUGGACUACCUGUCUCACGCAGCCCUCCUGCUAAGCACAGAGUCCAAAAAGCCACGGUGGCCAUUUGCCAAAAGAGGAGUUGGCAAAGACAAACAGAAGCAAGCAUCUGAUCUGGAAAACUGUCUUUCAACCAUUAAGAUGAUAGACUGC